RNAcentral lists this ribosomal RNA (506 nucleotides) under uncultured bacterium. RNAcentral's name for it is "partial 16S ribosomal RNA". It matches the Rfam family "Bacterial small subunit ribosomal RNA", at positions 29 to 523 of the family's 1533-position model. The record is from RNAcentral.
AGUGAACGCUGGCGGUAGGCCUAACACAUGCAAGUCGAACGGCAGCACAGAGGAGCUUGCUCCCUGGGUGGCGAGUGGCGGACGGGUGAGGCAUACAUCGGAAUCUACUCUGUCGUGGGGGAUAACGUAGGGAAACUUACGCUAAUACCGCAUACGACCUACGGGCGAAAGCAGGGGACCUUCGGGCCUUGCGCGAUUGAAUGAGCCGAUGUCGGAUUAGUUAGUUGGCGGGGUAAAGGCCCCCCAAGGCGACAAUCCGUAGCUGGUCUGAGAUGAUGAACAGGCAGACUGGAACUUAGACACGGUCCAGACUCCUACGGGAGACAGCAGUGGGGAAUAUUGGACAAUGGGCGCUAGCCUCAUCCAGCCAUACCGCGUGGGUGAAGUAGGCCUUCGGGUUUUAAAGCCCUUUUGUUGGGAAAGAAAUCCAGCUGGCUAAUACCCGAUUGGGAUGACUGUACCCAAAGAAUAAGCACCGGCUAACUUCGUGCCAGCCGCCGCAGUAA